RNAcentral lists this ribosomal RNA (1372 nucleotides) under uncultured bacterium. Its description in RNAcentral is "bacterial SSU rRNA". It matches the Rfam family "Bacterial small subunit ribosomal RNA", at positions 28 to 1381 of the family's 1533-position model. The record is from RNAcentral.
GAUAAACGCUGGCGGCGUGCCUAAUACAUGCAAGUCGAGCGAACGGACGAGAAGCUUGCUUCUCUGAUGUUAGCGGCGGACGGGUGAGUAACACGUGGAUAACCUACCUAUAAGACUGGGAUAACUUCGGGAAACCGGAGCUAAUACCGGAUAAUAUUUUGAACCGCAUGGUUCAAAAGUGAAAGACGGUCUUGCUGUCACUUAUAGAUGGAUCCGCGCUGCAUUAGCUAGUUGGUAAGGUAACGGCUUACCAAGGCAACGAUGCAUAGCCGACCUGAGAGGGUGAUCGGCCACACUGGAACUGAGACACGGUCCAGACUCCUACGGGAGGCAGCAGUAGGGAAUCUUCCGCAAUGGGCGAAAGCCUGACGGAGCAACGCCGCGUGAGUGAUGAAGGUCUUCGGAUCGUAAAACUCUGUUAUUAGGGAAGAACAUAUGUGUAAGUAACUGUGCACAUCUUGACGGUACCUAAUCAGAAAGCCACGGCUAACUACGUGCCAGCAGCCGCGGUAAUACGUAGGUGGCAAGCGUUAUCCGGAAUUAUUGGGCGUAAAGCGCGCGUAGGCGGUUUUUUAAGUCUGAUGUGAAAGCCCACGGCCCAACCGUGGAGGGUCAUUGGAAACUGGAAAACUUGAGUGCAGAAGAGGAAAGUGGAAUUCCAUGUGUAGCGGUGAAAUGCGCAGAGAUAUGGAGGAACACCAGUGGCGAAGGCGACUUUCUGGUCUGUAACUGACGCUGAUGUGCGAAAGCGUGGGGAUCAAACAGGAUUAGAUACCCUGGUAGUCCACGCCGUAAACGAUGAGUGCUAAGUGUUAGGGGGUUUCCGCCCCUUAGUGCUGCAGCUAACGCAUUAAGCACUCCGCCUGGGGAGUACGACCGCAAGGUUGAAACUCAAAGGAAUUGACGGGGACCCGCACAAGCGGUGGAGCAUGUGGUUUAAUUCGAAGCAACGCGAAGAACCUUACCAAAUCUUGACAUCCUUUGACAACUCUAGAGAUAGAGCCUUCCCCUUCGGGGGACAAAGUGACAGGUGGUGCAUGGUUGUCGUCAGCUCGUGUCGUGAGAUGUUGGGUUAAGUCCCGCAACGAGCGCAACCCUUAAGCUUAGUUGCCAUCAUUAAGUUGGGCACUCUAAGUUGACUGCCGGUGACAAACCGGAGGAAGGUGGGGAUGACGUCAAAUCAUCAUGCCCCUUAUGAUUUGGGCUACACACGUGCUACAAUGGACAAUACAAAGGGCAGCGAAACCGCGAGGUCAAGCAAAUCCCAUAAAGUUGUUCUCAGUUCGGAUUGUAGUCUGCAACUCGACUACAUGAAGCUGGAAUCGCUAGUAAUCGUAGAUCAGCAUGCUACGGUGAAUACGUUCCCGGGUCU